This 497-nucleotide ribosomal RNA is filed under the name uncultured bacterium. Its description in RNAcentral is "partial 16S ribosomal RNA". It matches the Rfam family "Bacterial small subunit ribosomal RNA", at positions 28 to 507 of the family's 1533-position model. The record is from RNAcentral.
GAUGAACGCUGGCGGCGUGCCUAAUACAUGCAAGUCGAGCGAACGGACGAGAAGCUUGCUUCUCUGAUGUUAGCGGCGGACGGGUGAGUAACACGUGGAUAACCUACCUAUAAGACUGGGAUAACUUCGGGAAACCGUAGCUAAUACCGGAUAAUAUUUUGAACCGCAUGGUUCAAAAGUGAAAAACGGUCUUGCUGUCACUUAUAGAUGGAUCCGCGCUGCAUUAGCUAGUUGGUAAGGUAACGGCUUACCAAGGCAACGAUCCAUAGCCGACCUGAGAGGGUGAUCGGCCACACUGGAACUGAGACACGGUCCAGACUCCUACGGGAGGCAGCAGUAGGGAAUCUUCCGCAAUGGGCGAAAGCCUGACGGAGCAACGCCGCGUGAGUGAUGAAGGUCUUCGGAUCGUAAAACUCUGUUAUUAGGGAAGAACAUAUGUGUAAGUAACUGUGCACAUCUUGACGGUACCUAAUCAGAAAGCCACGGCUAACUACGUG